CUCACCCCUCAACUUUUAGAUAGGGGAAAGAAGCUGAAGGUUAGGUUGAUCUUCACUGGUCAAUGAUUCAAUGAAUCGUGCCUAUGCAAUGAAGCCUUCAUAAAAACCCAGAAUGACUCAGCUUGGGGAGCUUCUGGAUAGCUGAACAUGUGCAGAUGCCUGAAGCCUGGCUCGCCCAAAAGGGCAUGAAAGCUCUACGCCCCUCCCCUGCACCUUGACCAAUUCAUCUCUUCCAUCCAGCAGUCCAUCUGUAUCCUUUGAAUAUCCUUUAUAAUAAGUGGGUAAAUUGUUGGAACUGUAUCCUCUUAUCAGUUGGACCAUCUCUAGAAAACACAAAGGGAGCUGCAAGGAAAUCCUGGCCCACUGCUGGACUCUAAAUGUGGCUGACACUGAUCCGUUCAGUGUUAAUCAUUGGCGUAUCCUUAUAUUGUUUCAAAAUUCAGCAUCCACGUGACUGGGCCUAUAUAAAGUUUCCCAAGCGCUUUUUCAUCUAUUAUUUAUUCUGACAUCAGUGCUGUGAAGUAUGGCAUUAUCAACUCUGUUUGACAUAUAAGGAGGUAGGUUUCAGAAAGGAAAGGUCCUAUUUGAGGUCCUGUGACUGGUUAGAUAGAGCUGGGACCAGAACUCAAGUCUUAGCCCUGCUGGACUUCACCCCCAUCAUAAUGCCAGGGGGACAAACAGGGUCAUCACAUAGUAAUUCAAACUUCGGGAAAAAAGCUGCAAGAGCUGCCUAGGAAAAGUUGAACAUGGUGGAAAAUUUCUGGGGAAUCUAUUAAUGUAUAAUUAUGGAAAGUUUAUUGAAAUUCAUCUAGUUAAGAUUGAAUUUAUACAAACACUUUAUUAAUUUAUAUUCAGGUGACCAGAAAAAGCGACUCUGAAUACAAAGAGUUUGUAUUAUCUGGUAUUCCUUGUUCUAGCUGCAGAAGAGUAAAGAUUAAUUCUUGAUCUUUUUUAAUGGUCUGAUGAUUUGUCUUUGCUCUCUUUCCCCAAGGGAAAAAGUUUCUGUUCACUUGCUCCUUAAUGAUAGCACUUUGCAUUUGUUUA
RNAcentral lists this long non-coding RNA (1044 nucleotides) under Homo sapiens (human). RNAcentral's name for it is "HSALNT0376819". Lineage: Eukaryota; Metazoa; Chordata; Mammalia; Primates; Hominidae. The record is from RNAcentral.